GAAACCCGGUGAUCUAGCCAUGGGCAGGUUGAAGGUUGGGUAACACUAACUGGAGGACCGAACCGACUAAUGUUGAAAAAUUAGCGGAUGACUUGUGGCUGGGGGUGAAAGGCCAAUCAAACCGGGAGAUAGCUGGUUCUCCCCGAAAGCUAUUUAGGUAGCGCCUCGUGAAUUCAUCUUCGGGGGUAGAGCACUGUUUCGGCUAGGGGGUCAUCCCGACUUACCAACCCGAUGCAAACUACGAAUACCGAAGAAUGUUAUCACGGGAGACACACGGCGGGUGCUAACGUCCGUCGUGAAGAGGGAAACAACCCAGACCGCCAGCUAAGGUCCCAAAGUCAUGGUUAAGUGGGAAACGAUGUGGGAAGGCACAGACAGCCAGGAUGUUGGCUUAGAAGCAGCCAUCAUUUAAAGAAAGCGUAAUAGCUCACUGGUCGAGUCGGCCUGCGCGGAAGAUGUAACGGGGCUAAACCAUGCACCGAAGCUGCGGCAGCGACACUAUGUGUUGUUGGGUAGGGGAGCGUUCUGUAAGCCUGCGAAGGUGUGCUGUGAGGCAUGCUGGAGGUAUCAGAAGUGCGAAUGCUGACAUAAGUAACGAUAAAGCGGGUGAAAAGCCCGCUCGCCGGAAGACCAAGGGUUCCUGUCCAACGUUAAUCGGGGCAGGGUGAGUCGACCCCUAAGGCGAGGCCGAAAGGCGUAGUCGAUGGGAAACAGGUUAAUAUUCCUGUACUUGGUGUUACUGCGAAGGGGGGACGGAGAAGGCUAUGUUAGCCGGGCGACGGUUGUCCCGGUUUAAGCAUGUAGGCUGAUUGUCCAGGCAAAUCCGGAUAAUCAAGGCUGAGGUGUGAUGACGAGGCACUACGGUGCUGAAGUAACAAAUGCCCUGCUUCCAGGAAAAGCCUCUAAGCAUCAGGUAACAUCAAAUCGUACCCCAAACCGACACAGGUGGUCAGGUAGAGAAUACCAAGGCGCUUGAGAGAACUCGGGUGAAGGAACUAGGCAAAAUGGUGCCGUAACUUCGGGAGAAGGCACGCUGGUGUGUAGGUGAAGUCCCUGCGGAUGGAGCUGAGACCAGUCGAAGAUACCAGCUGGCUGCAACUGUUUAUUAAAAACACAGCACUGUGCAAACACGAAAGUGGACGUAUACGGUGUGACGCCUGCCCGGUGCCGGAAGGUUAAUUGAUGGGGUUAUCCGUAAGGAGAAGCUCUUGAUCGAAGCCCCGGUAAACGGCGGCCGUAACUAUAACGGUCCUAAGGUAGCGAAAUUCCUUGUCGGGUAAGUUCCGACCUGCACGAAUGGCGUAAUGAUGGCCAGGCUGUCUCCACCCGAGACUCAGUGAAAUUGAACUCGCUGUGAAGAUGCAGUGUACCCGCGGCAAGACGGAAAGACCCCGUGAACCUUUACUAUAGCUUGACACUGAACAUUGAGCCUUGAUGUGUAGGAUAGGUGGGAGGCUUUGAAGCGUGGACGCCAGUCUGCGUGGAGCCAACCUUGAAAUACCACCCUUUAAUGUUUGAUGUUCUAACGUUGGCCCCUGACCGGGGUUGCGGACAGUGUCUGGUGGGUAGUUUGACUGGGGCGGUCUCCUCCCAAAGCGUAACGGAGGAGCACGAAGGUUAGCUAAUCCUGGUCGGACAUCAGGAGGUUAGUGCAAUGGCAUAAGCUAGCUUGACUGCGAGCGUGACGGCGCGAGCAGGUGCGAAAGCAGGUCAUAGUGAUCCGGUGGUUCUGAAUGGAAGGGCCAUCGCUCAACGGAUAAAAGGUACUCCGGGGAUAACAGGCUGAUACCGCCCAAGAGUUCAUAUCGACGGCGGUGUUUGGCACCUCGAUGUCGGCUCAUCACAUCCUGGGGCUGAAGUAGGUCCCAAGGGUAUGGCUGUUCGCCAUUUAAAGUGGUACGCGAGCUGGGUUUAGAACGUCGUGAGACAGUUCGGUCCCUAUCUGCCGUGGGCGCUGGAGAAUUGAGGGGGGCUGCUCCUAGUACGAGAGGACCGGAGUGGACGCAUCACUGGUGUUCGGGUUGUCAUGCCAAUGGCACUGCCCGGUAGCUAAAUGCGGAAGAGAUAAGUGCUGAAAGCAUCUAAGCACGAAACUUGCCCCGAGAUGAGUUCUCCCUGAGACUUUAAGUCUCCUGAAGGAACGUU
This 2145-nucleotide ribosomal RNA is filed under the name Klebsiella pneumoniae. RNAcentral describes it as "partial 23S ribosomal RNA". It matches the Rfam family "Bacterial large subunit ribosomal RNA", at positions 717 to 2839 of the family's 2925-position model. The record is from RNAcentral. Lineage: Bacteria; Pseudomonadati; Pseudomonadota; Gammaproteobacteria; Enterobacterales; Enterobacteriaceae.